AUUGGUCAAUGGGGGAAACCCUGAACCAGCAACGCCGCGUGAGGGAAGACGGUUUUCGGAUUGUAAACUCCUGUUCUUAGUGAAGAAGAAUGACGGUAGCUAAGGAGCAAGCCACGGCUAACUACGUGCCAGCAGCCGCGGUAAUACGUAGGUGGCGAGCGUUGUCCGGAAUUAUUGGGCGUAAAGGGAGCGCAGGCGGAAGGACAAGCCAGAUUUGAAAGUUCGGGGCUCAGCCCCGUGACGGAUCUGGAACUGUUCUCCUUGAGAGCGGGAGAAGGAAGCGGAAUUCCUGGUGUAGCGGUGAAAUGCGUAGAUAUCAGGAAGAACACCAGUGGCGAAAGCGGCUUUCCGGACCGAAUCUGACGCUGAGGCUCGAAAGCCAGGGGAGCGAA
This 392-nucleotide ribosomal RNA is filed under the name uncultured bacterium. Its description in RNAcentral is "bacterial SSU rRNA". It matches the Rfam family "Bacterial small subunit ribosomal RNA", at positions 363 to 772 of the family's 1533-position model. The record is from RNAcentral.